AUGAACGCUGGCGGCGUGCCUAAUACAUGCAAGUCGAGCGAACUGAUUAGAAGCUUGCUUCUAUGACGUUAGCGGCGGACGGGUGAGUAACACGUGGGCAACCUGCCUGUAAGACUGGGAUAACUUCGGGAAACCGAAGCUAAUACCGGAUAGGAUCUUCUCCUUCAUGGGAGAUGAUUGAAAGAUGGUUUCGGCUAUCACUUACAGAUGGGCCCGCGGUGCAUUAGCUAGUUGGUGAGGUAACGGCUCACCAAGGCAACGAUGCAUAGCCGACCUGAGAGGGUGAUCGGCCACACUGGGACUGAGACACGGCCCAGACUCCUACGGGAGGCAGCAGUAGGGAAUCUUCCGCAAUGGACGAAAGUCUGACGGAGCAACGCCGCGUGAGUGAUGAAGGCUUUCGGGUCGUAAAACUCUGUUGUUAGGGAAGAACAAGUACAAGAGUAACUGCUUGUACCUUGACGGUACCUAACCAGAAAGCCACGGCUAACUAC
RNAcentral lists this ribosomal RNA (494 nucleotides) under Bacillus sp. (in: firmicutes). RNAcentral describes it as "bacterial SSU rRNA". It matches the Rfam family "Bacterial small subunit ribosomal RNA", at positions 29 to 504 of the family's 1533-position model. Lineage: Bacteria; Bacillati; Bacillota; Bacilli; Caryophanales; Bacillaceae. The record is from RNAcentral.